This 9758-nucleotide long non-coding RNA is filed under the name Triticum aestivum (bread wheat). Its description in RNAcentral is "long non-coding RNA (TAES_LNC001519)". Lineage: Eukaryota; Viridiplantae; Streptophyta; Magnoliopsida; Poales; Poaceae. The record is from RNAcentral.
AAACAACCCAUGUAAUAUAAAUAAAAGGGAAAGGAUACAUAGUUGGCUUACAAUCGCCACUUCACACAAUUACAUGAAUAAAGCAUUACAUUCAUCCAAAUACACUCAAAGUCCGACUACGGAACCAAAAUGAAAGAAGACUACCCCAAAUGCUACACAGAUCCCCGAUUGACCCCAACUGGGCUCCACUACUGAUCAACUAGAACGAAACAACACAAAGGACAAGACCUUCAUUGACCUCCUCCUUGAGCUUGGUUGCGUCACCUGCACGGUUUCAUCGGCACCUGCAAACUGGUUUUUGAAGUAUCUGUGAGUCACGGGGACUCGGCAAUCUCACACGCUCGCGAUCAAGACUAUUUAAGCUUAUAUGUAAGGUAAAAAGGGUAUGAUGUGCAGCUGCAGCAAGCGACUAGCAUUUAUGGUGGCUACCAUAUUCGCAAAAGAGAGCGAGAAGAGAAGGCAAAAGCACGGUCGAGAAACUAUGAUCAAGAAGUGAUCCUAGAACAACCUACAUCAAGCAUAACUCCAACACCGUGUUCACUUCCCGGACUCCGCUGAGAAGAGACCAUCACAGUUACACGCACGGUUGAUGUAUUUUAGUUAAGGUCAACUUCAGGUUUUCUACAACCGGACAUUAACAAAUUCUCAUCUGCCCAUAACCGCGGGCACGGCUUUCGAAAGUUCAAAUCCCUGCAGGGGUGUCCCAACUUAGCCCAUCACAAGCUCUCACGAUCAACGAAGGAUAUUCCUUCUCCCAAGACAAUCCGAUCAGGCUCGGCAUUCAGGUUACAAGACAUCCUCGACAAUGGUAAAACAAGUCUAGCAACACCGCCCGAAUGUGCCGAUAAAUCCCGAUAGGAGCUGCACAUAUCUCGUUCUCAGGGCACACUCAGAUGAGACAUCCUACGAGUAAAACCAACCCCCAAGUUGCCCCGAGGUGGCCCCGCAGUCUACUCGGUCGGACCAACACUCAGAGGAGCACUGGCCCAGGGGGGUUUAAAUAAAGAUGACCCUUGAGUCUGCAGAACCCAAGGGAAAGAAAAGGCUAGGUGGCAAAUGGUAAAACCAAGGUUGGGCAUUGCUGGAGGAGUUUUAUUCAAGUCGAACUGUCAAGGGGUUCCCAUUAUAACCCAACCGCGUAAGGAACGCAAAAUCCGGGAACAUAACACCGAUAUGACGGAAACUAGGGCGGCAAGAGUGGAACAAAACACCAGGCAUAAGGCCGAGCCUUCCACCCUUUACCAAGUAUGUAGAUGCAUUAAUUAAAUAAGAGAUAUUGUGAUAUCCCAGCAAGUAAACAUGUUCCAACAAGGAACCACAUCUCCAUGUUCCAACAAGGAACAAACUUCAUCUUCACCUGCAACUAACAAUGCUAUAAGAGGGGCUGAGCAAAGCGGUAACAUAGCCAAUCAACGGUAUGCUAGGACAAAGUGGGUUAGAGGCUUGGUUCAACAAUAUGGGAGGCAUGAUAUAGCAAGUGGUGGGUAUCGCAGCAUAGGCAUAGCAAUAGAGCGAGCAACUAGCAAGCAAAGAUAGAAGUGAUUUCGAGGGUAUGGUCAUCUUGCCUGAAAUCCCGCACGGAAGAAGAACGAGUCCAUGAAGAAGACAAACGGACGUAGUCGAACGGGUCCUCACAAACGCGAUGUUAUCGGACCCAAGCCGAAGAAGCAACACCGGAAAGAAGCACACAACAUAGUAAACAAACAACACAUAAACAUGGCAUGAUGCACAACCAAGUAUGAUGCAUGUCUGGUUUAAUGAAGCGUGGCAUGGUCAAGUGCACAAAAAAUACUACAAAUUAAGUGAAGCUCAAUAUGCUAUGAGUUGCAUAUUGACGAAUCACCACAUGACUUAUUUAGUUCACUCUCGGUUAGGUACUCAACAAUAUUAAAUGUUGGUUAACAUGGCAAGAGGUGAAGCAUAACAAAACUAUAUCAUCUAAACAAUUUAAAUGGGGCCGGAUAUAACAAAUAACAAAUCCGGUAAGUCCCCAUAUGCAUUAGCAAUUUUAAUGCAACAACAAAUUUUAACCAUCUUAAAGUUGUUAACAUGAUGCGGAUGACAUGUUCAAGUUUAUGAAAUUUUAUUAAAAGUUGACAAGAGCAUUAAGAAGCAUUUGUCACCGUGGUGGAAAGGAAAAGGGUGCCACGGCAACGAUAACAAAACGGUGCCACGGCAACGUUCCGGUUCCGGUAACUCGAUUGAGGUAUCGAUGCAAAGGAGAAGUGUACGGAUACGUGCAAAAGAUGGUGGGGCGCUCCCGGAUACCGGGUGUCCCAUGAAUCGACGAUGGUGUCAAACGAGGGAACAACUAACGUUCACGGGCGGAUUACGACAACCCACAUGCAUUCGUUCACGGACGUCGUCUCGAGGUUAUACCUUUGAAGCGUGCAAGCAGGACAGUUCUCGUUCGGUGCAAAGUAGAGGAAGUAGACGUUCUCGUGACGGCAGUAGUGGAAGUAGUCGUUCUCGCACGCUCUAGGGUCGACGGUAGAGGUUCUCGCGAUCUCGGCGGCGGUAGUGGUACAUGUUUAUCGUUGCAUGAGUUUCCGUAGACGUUCAUGUCAUCGGUGUCGUGGUACUUGUGGUUUUCGGACUUUCCGGUCCCGUUCUUGCAACGGUAGUCAUUCAUGUUCGUUCAGAGAGGUACUUGAUGACUCCAACGUCUUCGGGGCGACGGUAGUUGUACAUGGUCCAUGAGACAUCGAUCGUUCGGGGUCCGACUUGCGGGUCUUGCCGACAUGAGUGGUACUUGGCGUUUCCGCGCCGUCGGUCUUGCCAGUCUCGGUCUCGACAAAGUAGUUGUACAAGUGCGCCAUUGGACUUGUCGAAUCUUAACUCUUCAAGGACCGUCGUGGUACUUGGCGCUUGCGGGGUGGUGUUUGUCAAAACCAGGGGAACUUGACAAAAUCUUCAACGAUGGGACUUGGCAAUAAUCUUUGUCCGGUAGUCGUCUGACUUGACAGCAAUGGCAACAGCAAGCGGAGGAGGUCCUGGGCUUCGGGCGCGUGAUGCCACAGGGAGGAGACGAGAACUAGGUGGCAUGUGGAGAGGGUCGUGGUCAGGCUCAACCACGUCGAGGAGGCCAUGGCGGAGCGAGUAGGAGGCGCUGGACAUGGGAACCCCCGCGCCCAGUGGGGCACACGAGAUGCAGGAGGCGAGGCAAGGCGAGCUCGGCGGCCUGGACUCGCCAGCCGGAGCGGCGGCGGGGCUUGCCAGCGCGGCAGCCAUGGGUGGCGCUGAGGUAGAAGAGGCCAUGGCACGCUAGAGGCGCGAAGGAGGCGACCGGAGAGGAUGUCCGGGAGCAGGGGCACGAGGCACGCGGCGCGAGGGCCCUGCUCCUCUGCAUAUGACGGCGCAGGAGAACGAAGGGGAGAGGGACGAGGCUGGCGGCGCUCCGGUGGCUUUGGUCGCCGGCGGGGGAGAAUCGAAGGGAGGCGGCAUGCGGUGGAUCGGGGAAAGGGAGCGAGGGCGUGAGGGAGCGAUGGGAUCGGGGGUUGCUGCGCGAGGGAGAUGGGUCUCGGCCCCUGGCGGCGCUGGUGGGAGCGAGAGGGGGGAGGAAUCAAUCGGGAUGGGAGUGCGCUAGGGUUAGGUGGCUGGGCUGUGGGAGGCCUUGGCCAAAUGGGCCGUAGGAGGCUGCGGGACCGGGCUGGCUGGAUUCAAUGUAAGAAGAGAAGAAAGAAAAAAAGAUCUCUCUCUUCUCUACUUUCCAUUACAGAGAUGAAAACAAGAAAGAAAGAAAAGAGAGAAAAGGAGAUGGAGUAUUUUGGAUCGUCCGAUCAAAAUUGGACGGUCGGAGAUGAAUGGGUUAGGGAGUCCAAACAAGGCAACGGUGAUGUUUUAUAGAUGUUUGGGGAUGUUCCGGAUCCAACGGUGACGACUGUCCGGGUCGGGUCCGGGACCGAUUUCGGACGCGCGUGGGAGGAGGGCCGCGGGCUGAUGAGAGAGGUUAGGUUGGGCCUGGCAGUAGGUAGUGGACUGUGCGGAAGGCCUCAGGCUGAGAAAAGAGAAGAGAGAAAGGCUCGGCGACUGUUUCCGGAGACCGAAAACGUCCGACGUUAGACCUACUAUAUUGUCGCUAUAGUUAUCCGUUGGGGCACCAAACGAUCUCCGAAUGCAAUGAAACUUGAUAGGCGGUCUAUCUACACUAUAAUAAGACCACACGUCAACUCUCAUCCCAUUCCGAGAACAUUUUCCGGACACUUAUAAAAUAAUAUUUCGGACAUGCCGCAGGCGCGUGCAAGGGUGUCUGGGCUCAGAACGGACAACGGAAGGAACUGGUAGAAACCGGGUGAAUGCAAGUUUCGAAAACAUGAUGAUGCAAUGCACAUGAUGACAUGACAAGAAAUGCAACACGCAAGCAAAUGACAAAGCAACAGCAGCAAAUAACUGGAGGACACCUGGCGCAAUGGUCUCGGGGCGUCACAACACUCCACCACUACGAGAGGAUCUCGUCCCGAGAUCUAGGAUGGCACCGGGGAAAAACAAAAGAGAAAGAGAAGAGGUAAAACUAAGUUGCUUCUUUGACAAACGAGUGAAACCAAAGAACCUUGCGAGGUAAGCCAUUCUGAGAAAAUAAUACAACGGAGAUGAACGAAGUUGACAAUCUCCUCCAGAAAAGAGGAAUAAGGAAGAACAAAUUCGGACAGCACUCUGAUUGAAAAGAAAAGGAAAUGAAUAAGAUCUUGGUAAGAUGAGAAGAUACUUGAUGAAAUCACAACAUACUGCCUCCAGAACUAUUGAAUGAAUGGAACAAGGGGUAAGAAAGAUCUCAGACAACACUCCGGUUGAAAAGAGAUGCAAGGCUUGAUAAGGCAAAAAGAACUUGAGUAGAAUGGCACCACACUCCGGUUAAAUGGAUAGGCAUGAAAAGAACAAGAUCUUUGACAAAAGCGAGAUGAUGAGUGAAAAGAACAGCAUCGCAAUGCCUCCGGAACGACUAUAAGAAUGGAUUCAAAAGAACGAAGAGGAAAACAACGUCUUUAGGAGAAGGGUCGAACGGAGUUGUUGGAAACCAACAACGAAAAGAGUAAGCUUGUUGUGGGCUUAUGGAAAACAUCUCAAAGCUGAGUUGAAAUUCUGCCACUGACGGAAACGAUAGAUUGGACUGAUAUCCACAAGGAGACGAGAAACUAUUUCACCGGGAGGAUAAAAGAACUUGAGUCAUUUAUGGGCACCAUAAUAGCAACAAUCCUUAGGGAAGGCUUUAGGUGAAAAUAUUACCCAAGAUAACUCCAACGAAGAGGUUGAUGGAUAUAAAAUACCUCAUUCUUGACAACAUGAGAAUCAUGAAACAUGAACUCAAAUUUUCAAGAAUGACAUAAUACCACCUCCAAUGAUACGGUAGAAAGAAUUGCACUCCGGAUAGCAAGAUGUAGAAUGCAUGAGCUCCUCUGAAAAGAAUCUCGAUGAACACUUCGAGAAGGAAUAUAAAUCCUUGAUGAACCAUCAUGUAGAACCUUCAAGAAGAACUCCGGUAAACAAAAAGAAUAACGAAAAUAAAGAGAAGUCGGAAACACAAGGUGAAACUUGUAAUGAUUUAGAUGGAUCUCCGUGAUAAUUAGAGCUUGGAACUCCGGGAAAGAAAGACGAGCACUUGAAACCAAGAAUUUAAUCACCGUGAACAAACUCCGAAAGAAAAGAUUAUCAUAUGGAUGAAACAAUAAUAAGAAUUACAUUAUGCUUAACCUUCACCAAUUUAAUUGAUGACAAGCAACGGGUUUGGCAUACUACUUAUUCUCGUAGAAAGGAUUAAGAUAGAUAUAGCGCAUACUUGAGAAUGUCUUCAACGAACCGCCGGUAGGAUUGGAACAUCGAAUAAAUUGAUAAAUAAGAGAACUCUUGAACAAACCACAGUUAGAAUUGAAAACGAACGAAGUAAAGAUAAAGGAACACCGGGAAGAAUUUGCAAAUGAACGAAGAUGCUUGAGUGAAUUUAGAUCCAUGAGAAUGAAGAGAUCAUGAGCUGAUAAGAGAAAAACGUGCACAAUGCACCGGUAAGAUUGGAGAAUGAUAACUGGAAGCUGAGAAUGAAUAAAACUGAAUUUAUGGACUCCGGAUAAACAAACUGAAAGAAUCUUGAAUUGCUCCGGAUAGGUGAAAAGAAUUCUGACAAUAGAAAACAAUUAUGAAAGGAUGCAGAAAGCUAGAACCAUGAUUCUUCAAGAGAACGGAUAUGAUUGCAGAGAAGCUCUUCUUCGGUCUUCAAAUGUUGAUAAUGAUGACGAGAACCACCACUGAGAAUUAUUGAGAUACUCUAGGAUAAAUAAGAAUGGAAAAGUUGAACCAACGAUGAAAGGAAUUUGAUAGAUCUUGGAGAAAGACAUUUGACUGAUGUUAAAUCAUUCUUACGUCAAACUUUGAAAAGAAUUUAGGAUAGCUCCGAGAAAAUAAGAAGAGUCAGGUAAGAUCCUGGGAAAAGACCUAUGGGUUAGGGCCCACUCAAGAGAAACACUGUUGAGAUGAUUUAAAGAGAGAGAUUGCAUCGGUUGAAUUAAAAGACUUGAAUGAGACAACAGCCUCGAGAUAUCUUGAGCACUCCGAAACAAUUGAAAAGCAAACGGGGAAUGAUUAUGAGGUGCACCGGCAUAAGAAGGUAUUUGCCCCGAAGAAAAAGGAUAAGAUGAACACCAAAAGCUUGAAUUGGUUCCACCGGGGAAGAAAAAGAACGAAUAAUGAUAACUUGAAGCUCCGUUAGUAUCUUCUUGAGAAUCACCGGAUAAGAACAUUGACGGAAAAGGAAUGGAGUGACUUCAAAAGAAUAAAAGGAUACUUGAUUAAGACAUCAGAUUCCUUGAAGAAAACAGGUGGGUGGGCGGGAAAACAAAGGCAACUUGGGGACGGAUGAAACAAACACCAUUGAGAAGAACUGAUACUUGAUCUUGCGGAUGUUGCAAUGAUCAGAUCCACUUGAUGAGAAGCACACCGGUUAAAAAGGAUUGACAUGACAAACUCGAUGAUCAAGAAGGAUUAGUAUUCUCAUAGGAACAUGAGAACACCGCUUAGAAAAGGUAUGGAAUCAACAUUUGACUUCGAAGCAACUCGAAUACCACAACUCAAAACAAAACAAGAAUUGGCUUGCAAAAUAAGCCGGAACAAACAUAUGAUAAAGAUUUCGUCUGAAGUUUUCGUGGUGGGGCCUACACGGGCUCGAUCGUACAGCACCAUCAUGUACAAGGCAGUGCACAUGACAUACGAAGCGUCCCCGAGUCGGCAUAGCCAAGGACUCUUUAAGACACAACGAGACCACUGUAAAACCAACCAUGGAUAGGCGGACCACUAGACGUCGAACCCCAAUAUCAUAUCAUACAUCUGCCGGAAAGAUAUCCUAAGAGCCACUUGAAUUCCCACUUAUAAACUCCCGAAAUUUUCUGGUUACGCAACCAGGUGUUGGGGAUACAGGGGAAGCAUAAUAUCUCACCCAAACUACCAAUUCCUACAUCCAGCUGUAUCCAUCCUUCAACACAUAACCAAGAAACCUUCGGAAAUCGUUUACCUCAACCUUCGAAAAGCAUCCGUUAUACGAGUUAUGGCAAUACUCCCGAACUCCCGCCCCAGUACUGGGUGGCGUCGAGGUUAUCUCGCAACAAGUGCAUAAAAGAGAUUUUCGAUAUCGGCGAAACUAAACUCAGGUAUUCUAGAACUGCAACGAUAAAAUUGUGACGACAACACCUCGGAUCUCAACUCCCCGGGACACUGCCACAACGCCUAAAUGACAGGAGGCACCAAGAACAAUGUUCUCGUCACAAAUCGAUCGGAAUGACUCCAAGAUACCCGCGUGAUCCUAAAUUGUUUUUAGUGAAAUUUGAGGAGAGAAUAGUCAAAACUCUAUGUCAGGAUGCCUCACCAGAGCGACGAAGGGACUGAGGAGUAAAAAGAAUUCCUAACUCUCCGAUAUAUAUAAUCCUAAAUGACUCAAAACACUUUUCUAGACUCAACAACGCCAGCGAUUCGAUCAAGCAGGGGGCUCCUAAAGUCGGGGAAGGCUCUGAUUGCCAACUUGUAACGCCCUCGAUGCGGCUAUAUCUCCUACGUGUCGAAGCAUGACUUAGAGGCAUAACCGCAUUGAAAGCAAUGUCGCAAGUGAGGUAAUCUUCGCAAACAACCCAUGUAAUAUAAAUAAAAGGGGAAAGGAUACAUAGUUGGCUUACAAUCGCCACUUCACAUAAUUACAUGAAUAAAGCAUUACAUUCAUCCAAAUACACUCAAGAUCCGACUACGGAACCAAAAUGAAAGAAGACUACCCCAAAUGCUACACAGAUCCCCGAUCGACCCCAACUGGGUCCACUACUGAUCAACUAGAACAAAACAACACAAAGGACAAGACCUUCAUCGAGCUCCUCCUUGAGCUUGGUUGCGUCACCUGCACGAUUUCAUCGGCACCUGCAAACUGGUUUUUGAAGUAUAUGUGACUCACGGGGACUUAGCAAUCUCACACCCUCGCGAUCAAGACUAUUUAAGCUUAUAGGUAAGGUAAAAAGGGUAUGAUGUGGAGCUGCAGCAAGCGAUUAGCAUUUAUGGUGGCUAACAUAUUCGCAAAAGAGAGCGAGAAGAGAAGGCAAAAGCAUGGUCGAGAAACUAUGAUCAAGAAGUGAUCCUAGAACAACCUACGUCAAGCAUAACUCCAACACCGUGUUCACUUCCCGGACUCCGUCGAGAAGGGACCAUCACGGUUACACACGCGGUUGAUGUAUUUUAGUUAAGGUCAACUUCAGGUUUUCUACAACCGGACAUUAACAAAUUCCCAUCUGCCCAUAACCACGGGCACGGCUUCCGAAAGUUCAAAUCCCUAUAGGGGUGUCCCAACUUAGCCCAUCACAAGCUCUCACGGUCAAUGAAGGAUAUUCCUUCUCCCAAGACAAUCCGAUCAGGCUCGACAUCCAGGUUACAAGACAUCCUCGACAAUGGUAAAACAAGUCCAGCAACACCGCCCGAAUGUGCCGACAAAUCCCGAUAGGAGCUGCACAUAUUUUGUUCUCAGGGCACACUCAGAUGAGACAUCCUACGAGUAAAACCAACCCCCAAGUUGCCCCGAGGUGGCCCCGCAGUCUACUCAGUCGGACCAACACUCAGAGGAGCACUGGCCCAGGUGGGUUUAAAUAAAGAUGACCCUUGAGUCUGCAGAACCCAAGGGAAAGAAAAUGCUAGGUGGCAAAUGGUAAAACCAAGGUUGGGCAUUGCUGGAGGAGUUUUAUUCAAGGCGAACUGUCAAGGGGUUCCCAUAAUAACCCAACCGCGUAAGAAACGCAAAAUCCGGGAGCAUAACACUAAUAUGACGGAAACUAGGGCGGCAAGAGUGGAACAAAACACCAGGCAUAAGGCCGAGCCUUCCACCCUUUACCAAGUAUAUAGAUGCAUUAAUUAAAUAAGAGAUAUUGUGAUAUCCCAACAAGGAACCACAUCUCCAUGUUCCAACAAGGAAGAAAUUUCAUCUUCACCUGCAACUAACAAUGCUAUAAGAGGGGCUGAGCAAACUGGUAACAUAGCCAAUCAACGGUUUGCUAGGACAAGGUGGGUUAGAGGCUUGGUUCAACAAUAUGGGAGGCAUGAUAUAGCAAGUGGUGGGUAUCGCAGCAUAGGCAUAGCAAUAGAGCGAGCAACUAGCAAGCAAAGAUAGAAGUGAUUUCGAGGGUAUGGUCAUCUUGCCUGAAAUCCCGCACGGAAGAAGAACGAGUCCAUGAAGAAGACAAAUGGACGUAGUCGAACGGGUCCUCACAAACGCGACGUUAUCGGACCCAACCCGAAGAAGCAACACCGGA